This 1527-nucleotide ribosomal RNA is filed under the name Salmonella enterica subsp. enterica serovar Javiana. RNAcentral describes it as "partial 23S ribosomal RNA". It matches the Rfam family "Bacterial large subunit ribosomal RNA", at positions 1292 to 2802 of the family's 2925-position model. Lineage: Bacteria; Pseudomonadati; Pseudomonadota; Gammaproteobacteria; Enterobacterales; Enterobacteriaceae. The record is from RNAcentral.
GAAUGCUGACAUAAGUAACGAUAAAGCGGGUGAAAAGCCCGCUCGCCGGAAGACCAAGGGUUCCUGUCCAACGUUAAUCGGGGCAGGGUGAGUCGACCCCUAAGGCGAGGCCGAAAGGCGUAGUCGAUGGGAAACGGGUUAAUAUUCCCGUACUUGGUGUUACUGCGAAGGGGGGACGGAGAAGGCUAUGUUGGCCGGGCGACGGUUGUCCCGGUUUAAGCGUGUAGGUGUGUGUUCCAGGUAAAUCCGGUUCACUUUAACACUGAGGCGUGACGACGAGGCACUACGGUGCUGAAGCAACAAAUGCCCUGCUUCCAGGAAAAGCCUCUAAGCAUCAGGUAACAUCAAAUCGUACCCCAAACCGACACAGGUGGUCAGGUAGAGAAUACCAAGGCGCUUGAGAGAACUCGGGUGAAGGAACUAGGCAAAAUGGUGCCGUAACUUCGGGAGAAGGCACGCUGACAUGUAGGUGAAGUGAUUUACUCACGGAGCUGAAGUCAGUCGAAGAUACCAGCUGGCUGCAACUGUUUAUUAAAAACACAGCACUGUGCAAACACGAAAGUGGACGUAUACGGUGUGACGCCUGCCCGGUGCCGGAAGGUUAAUUGAUGGGGUCAGCGCAAGCGAAGCUCCUGAUCGAAGCCCCGGUAAACGGCGGCCGUAACUAUAACGGUCCUAAGGUAGCGAAAUUCCUUGUCGGGUAAGUUCCGACCUGCACGAAUGGCGUAAUGAUGGCCAGGCUGUCUCCACCCGAGACUCAGUGAAAUUGAACUCGCUGUGAAGAUGCAGUGUACCCGCGGCAAGACGGAAAGACCCCGUGAACCUUUACUAUAGCUUGACACUGAACAUUGAGCCUUGAUGUGUAGGAUAGGUGGGAGGCUUUGAAGUGUGGACGCCAGUCUGCAUGGAGCCGGCCUUGAAAUACCACCCUUUAAUGUUUGAUGUUCUAACGUGGACCCGUGAUCCGGGUUGCGGACAGUGUCUGGUGGGUAGUUUGACUGGGGCGGUCUCCUCCUAAAGAGUAACGGAGGAGCACGAAGGUUGGCUAAUCCUGGUCGGACAUCAGGAGGUUAGUGCAAUGGCAUAAGCCAGCUUGACUGCGAGCGUGACGGCGCGAGCAGGUGCGAAAGCAGGUCAUAGUGAUCCGGUGGUUCUGAAUGGAAGGGCCAUCGCUCAACGGAUAAAAGGUACUCCGGGGAUAACAGGCUGAUACCGCCCAAGAGUUCAUAUCGACGGCGGUGUUUGGCACCUCGAUGUCGGCUCAUCACAUCCUGGGGCUGAAGUAGGUCCCAAGGGUAUGGCUGUUCGCCAUUUAAAGUGGUACGCGAGCUGGGUUUAGAACGUCGUGAGACAGUUCGGUCCCUAUCUGCCGUGGGCGCUGGAGAACUGAGGGGGGCUGCUCCUAGUACGAGAGGACCGGAGUGGACGCAUCACUGGUGUUCGGGUUGUCAUGCCAAUGGCACUGCCCGGUAGCUAAAUGCGGAAGAGAUAAGUGCUGAAAGCAUCUAAGCACGAAACUUGCCCCGA